This 252-nucleotide small RNA is filed under the name Pan troglodytes (chimpanzee). Its description in RNAcentral is "processed transcript". Lineage: Eukaryota; Metazoa; Chordata; Mammalia; Primates; Hominidae. The record is from RNAcentral.
GGACAUUGCAGAGCUGUAGUAGAUCUGUACUGGUCUGCAGACAGACAAUAAUUUGCACUACCAGGAAGACGUUCUGUGAGGAAGACAUAGGUGGAAAUACGGAAAGCAGAAAAGACAACUUGGGGGUGGCCGGGAGAUAACAGAAGAGCCGGCGCCCGAGGAGACGCACGCCGCUGACAUUGUCUUCUCCGCACGACUGUUACAGAGGUCUCCAGAGCCUUCUCUCUCCUGUGCAAAAUGGCAACUCUUAAG